CGUGACCAUAGCGCUUGCAACUGUGUCGAAAUAUCGGGAGCCUCAUAUCCCUGACUUAACGCGUUACGUGAAUUACUCGAGUAUCGCCGCGAGAACUCUACGCAAGGCACUCAAGUCCAACCUGAGGGAUGAAGCUUCCAAGCGGGACGAGUCACACAUCAAAUGCUUCUUUUGGGAAGACGGCCACCCGUUGCCUCUGGGACAAAAGCCGGGUGGUUCUGGUGGCGCCUCCAGCGGCGGCGGAGAAAAAGGAAAAUGAUGCUUCGCCUCACUGUACCUCAUCACAUCACUGCAAGUCGUAGAAUAACGUUAGAUUGUUAUAAACAGUAGCAGCUGUAACAUAGAACCCGCAUACCGCGCGCGACGCGUUAUUUGAACCACCGCAAUAGGCUAGUUACCAACUAAUAAGUCAAAUCAGAUACUUUUUACCAAGCGUCAAAACACGAAAUUACUAUGGAAUUUUUAUUAAAAUUCAUUUUCAAUUAAAUAGAAAAGAGAAAAUGUUUUUCGUUAGUUUUAGAUCUAGCUUUAUUUAGAAAUCAGAAUUUCAUAAUAGAUCUUUAACCGAAAAAAUCAACACGUCUCACGACCACGACCCAAUUGCCUGCGCGAUAAAUAAACCAAUACUAUUCGCUUAACUAACGCGUCGCACCUGUUGUGUUACUUGGAAGGAAAAGGUAUUUUGUACUGUUUGUACCUGUAGAUAUUGAGAUUUCAUUGGAUCAAUAAUAAAACCAAAUCCAUCCAGAUAGGUACUACUUCUGGUUACGUAUUUAAAUGUCUAAAAUAAAAAAGCUAACGUUCAAUUACCUACGUUUAAAAUACCUAAAAUCUAAGUACCUAAUGUUUAAAUUCCUAACCAACUAAUACGAAGUUCCUAUCGUGGGGUAGCUGUUCUGUUAUGUAUAAAGGGUAUUUAAAUUUUAGGUAAUUUGACGUGAGGUGUUUUAUUAACUUAAGACUUUAAAUACGUAACCACUAUUUUUACAC
Molecule: long non-coding RNA, 990 nt
Organism: Pectinophora gossypiella (pink bollworm)
Lineage: Eukaryota; Metazoa; Arthropoda; Insecta; Lepidoptera; Gelechiidae
Exons: 3
Source: RefSeq, a predicted model, not a curated record